CUUCGGGAAACCGGAGCUAAUACCGGAUAAUAUUUUGAACCGCAUGGUUCAAAAGUGAAAGACGGUCUUGCUGUCACUUAUAGAUGGAUCCGCGCUGCAUUAGCUAGUUGGUAAGGUAACGGCUUACCAAGGCAACGAUGCAUAGCCGACCCGAGAGGGUGAUCGGCCACACUGGAACUGAGACACGGUCCAG
This 193-nucleotide ribosomal RNA is filed under the name uncultured Staphylococcus sp. RNAcentral's name for it is "partial 16S ribosomal RNA". It matches the Rfam family "Bacterial small subunit ribosomal RNA", at positions 147 to 334 of the family's 1533-position model. Lineage: Bacteria; Bacillati; Bacillota; Bacilli; Caryophanales; Staphylococcaceae. The record is from RNAcentral.